Molecule: long non-coding RNA, 582 nt
Organism: Cyprinus carpio (common carp)
Lineage: Eukaryota; Metazoa; Chordata; Actinopteri; Cypriniformes; Cyprinidae
Source: Ensembl
GGUCAUUAAAUUCUAACAAUACAACUUAAAUACUAAUCCUGUGGCAUUACAAUUUCUGUUAGCUUGACAUGCCUGCAAUCAGGGAGUGGUGGUGUCUACGUCUAAUUGAGCGGUUUGAGACAGAGGGGCAUGGGAAAAGGUUCGCCCACUGGACAGAGGAGGCAAGAUGCCUGACUGAAGGGACAUUACGACCACUUUACAGGAGUUUUCCAGGACUAACACAUGACCUACCACAACAUGUUGUUGCCAGUAGGAACCGAAAGUUAUCCAACCAGGCUCUGGUGGACUUCAUUGUGGCAAGAGGAACCGAUAACCACAUUCAGUCCAUCAUCAGUGGACAAAAAAAAUCACAGUGGCUUGACACUUUUUCCAAGUGUUCCAUAAAGAAAGUGCCUGUGCCAUUGUUCAUUGAAGAUCAGGAACAAAUUGAUAUUAUCUACACUCACCUGACUUCAAUUCUGAACAGUACACCCACACACACCCACAGUGACCAGAUCAGAUUUAUUAUGGAUGUCCUUUUUCCAGAGGUAGGACUAAUGUGUUAGUUGUGCUCUGCAUGGUGUCAUAUUCACAUUGUUUUUA